RNAcentral lists this ribosomal RNA (253 nucleotides) under uncultured bacterium. Its description in RNAcentral is "partial 16S ribosomal RNA". It matches the Rfam family "Bacterial small subunit ribosomal RNA", at positions 524 to 776 of the family's 1533-position model. The record is from RNAcentral.
UACGGAGGGUGCAAGCGUUAUCCGGAUUCACUGGGUUUAAAGGGUGCGUAGGCGGGCAGGUAAGUCCGUGGUGAAAUCUCUGAGCUUAACUCAGAAACUGCCAUGGAUACUAUUUGUCUUGAAUAUUGUGGAGGUGAGCGGAAUAUGUCAUGUAGCGGUGAAAUGCUUAGAUAUGACAUAGAACACCAAUUGCGAAGGCAGCUAACUACAGGGAUAUUGACACUGAGGCACGAAAGCGUGGGGAUCAAACAGG